GCCAGCAUGGUAUACUGGUUUGGGUGUUGGACUCAAACUCUGGAGACCAGGGUUCGAUUCCCAGCUUGGCC
RNAcentral lists this transfer RNA (71 nucleotides) under Phrynosoma platyrhinos (Desert horned lizard). RNAcentral describes it as "tRNA-OTHER". The record is from RNAcentral. Lineage: Eukaryota; Metazoa; Chordata; Lepidosauria; Squamata; Phrynosomatidae.